Non-coding RNA from Spinacia oleracea (spinach), 107 nucleotides. Lineage: Eukaryota; Viridiplantae; Streptophyta; Magnoliopsida; Caryophyllales; Amaranthaceae. The record is from Rfam.
AUACCAUGUUGGGGGCACCUUCGUUGUAAGCCUUUGUACCUAACCCAUGCCUCCGACAAGGAAUCCAUGUCUCCUUGUGUGAAAGUAGAAAUAUCAUUACGAAGUUU